Molecule: unclassified non-coding RNA, 218 nt
Filed under: Hevea brasiliensis (rubber tree)
Lineage: Eukaryota; Viridiplantae; Streptophyta; Magnoliopsida; Malpighiales; Euphorbiaceae
Source: RNAcentral
AUAUUUACUCAAUAAUGACAGGGUCGAUGAUCCCUUACUUAAAGAAGCUGAGGCAUUACGGCGGGGGGCUAGCUUUGGUGGCGGCGGACUAUGGUUCUACUGAGAGCUGGAUUGGGGUGAACAUGAGGCCAUCCGACCCUCCUGAGAAAGUGGCUUUCACAGUGAUACCAACAUUCGCUUACUUCGAGUUCAUACCGCUUUCGAGACGGUAUGAUGAG